RNAcentral lists this ribosomal RNA (404 nucleotides) under uncultured bacterium. RNAcentral's name for it is "bacterial SSU rRNA". It matches the Rfam family "Bacterial small subunit ribosomal RNA", at positions 355 to 776 of the family's 1533-position model. The record is from RNAcentral.
UGGGGAAUAUUGGACAAUGGGCGAAAGCCUGAUCCAGCAAUGCCGCGUGAGUGAAGAAGGCCUUAGGGUUGUAAAGCUCUUUCGUCCACGACGAUAAUGACGGUAGUGGAAGAAGAAGCCCCGGCUAACUCCGUGCCAGCAGCCGCGGUAAUACGGAGGGGGCUAGCGUUGUUCGGAAUUACUGGGCGUAAAGCGCGCGUAGGCGGCCAUGCAAGUCAGAGGUGAAAGCCCGGAGCUUAACUUCGGAACUGCCUUUGAGACUGCAUGGCUUGAACCCGGGAGAGGUAAGUGGAAUUCCGAGUGUAGAGGUGAAAUUCGUAGAUAUUCGGAGGAACACCAGUGGCGAAGGCGGCUUACUGGACCGGUGUUGACGCUGAGGCGCGAAAGCGUGGGGAGCAAACAGG